Zopfochytrium polystomum is the source of this 73-nucleotide non-coding RNA. NCBI's taxonomy places the organism in Eukaryota, Fungi, Chytridiomycota, Chytridiomycetes, Chytridiales, Chytridiaceae. The record is from the annotation of a GenBank genome assembly.
GCCUGGUUAGCUCAAUCGGUAGAGCGUGCGACUCUUAAUCGCAAGGCUGUGGGUUCGACCCCCACAUCGGGCG